CUCCAGACUCCUACGGGAGGCAGCAGUGGGGAAUAUUGGGCAAUGGGCGCAAGCCUGACCCAGCAAUGCCGCGUGAAGGAAGAAGGCUUUCGGGUUGUAAACUUCUUUGACAGGGGAAGAGCAGAAGACGGUACCCUGAAAACAAGCCACGGCUAACUCCGUGCCAGCAGCCGCGGUAAUACGGAGGAUGCGAGCGUUAUCCGGAUUUAUUGGGUUUAAAGGGUGCGUAGGCGGAUCGUUAAGUCAGUGGUCAAAUUGGGGGCCUCAACCCCUGCCCGCCAUUGAAACUGGCGAUCUUGAGUGGAAGAGAAGUAUGCGGAAUGCGUGGUGUAGCGGUGAAAUGCAUAGAUAUCACGCAGAACCCCGAUUGCGAAGGCAGCAUGCCGGCUUCCGACUGACGCUGAAGCACGAAAGCGUGGGGAUCGAACAGGAUUAGAUACCCGGGUAG
RNAcentral lists this ribosomal RNA (448 nucleotides) under uncultured bacterium. RNAcentral describes it as "partial 16S ribosomal RNA". It matches the Rfam family "Bacterial small subunit ribosomal RNA", at positions 329 to 793 of the family's 1533-position model. The record is from RNAcentral.